Molecule: long non-coding RNA, 383 nt
Filed under: Homo sapiens (human)
Lineage: Eukaryota; Metazoa; Chordata; Mammalia; Primates; Hominidae
Description: HSALNT0220447
Source: RNAcentral
CGCAUACUUAUAGGAAGCAGCCAGUAAAUAUACAUUCAUCCCUGUUGCCUGAAAACAAUUGGUUUUUAUGCCUAAAGAGGAGGAAAUCCUUCCCUUAACUCCAAUGGAUCAAAGAAGUCUUCUUGGAAGAGGAGCAUUUUCUCACUGCUCAGAGGAAAGAAAGACAGGGACUUUGUUUGAACUAAUCUGGAAAAAAUGAUGACGCUUCACUCAGUUAUUUUAAAAUCUGGCCACGAGGAUAUUUUUGAAACCUCGUCAUAAGAAUAUCAUUUGUCCUAUGACACAGUUGCUGUUUAUCCGAUUAUCUAAGUUAAUGAUAAUAAGAUAUACACAAAUUAAUGUUACUCCUUGGACUCAAAAUUUGAGCCUGAAAUGAAGCGAGU